This 72-nucleotide transfer RNA is filed under the name Anolis fuscoauratus. Its description in RNAcentral is "tRNA-Asx". Lineage: Eukaryota; Metazoa; Chordata; Lepidosauria; Squamata; Anolidae. The record is from RNAcentral.
CGGAGUAAGAGGGCCUCGAUCCCACAAAAACUAGUUAACAGCUAAUUACCCUAGCCAGCGGGCUUCUACUCG